RNAcentral lists this long non-coding RNA (749 nucleotides) under Rattus norvegicus (Norway rat). RNAcentral's name for it is "long non-coding RNA NONRATT000105". Lineage: Eukaryota; Metazoa; Chordata; Mammalia; Rodentia; Muridae. The record is from RNAcentral.
CUGGCGGGCUUCAUCUACGCCUGUUAUGUUGUGAGAUGCAUAACUGAAGAAGAGGACAGCUUUGAUUUCAUAGGUGGCUUUGAUUCUUAUGGAUAUCAAGGGCCUCAGAAGACAUCCCACUUACAACUACAACCAAUGUACAUGUCAAAAUAACACAGAUGGCUUCUGUCUGUCAGCCCACGGACUCCUCAAAUGACUUGUGCAGUAGCCUCUUGCCUUUUAUGAAGCUCAAGAAGCAAAUGGAUUUAAAUACACAUUCAUGUCAUCAGACCAAACAGGAAGUUUCUACAUAGACACAUGAGUGAAAACACACACACACACACACACACACACACACACACACACCACUGUCAUUAUCAUGUACACGUCAACUACACAGGACCUCCUCUUUCUGACUGAAACUGAUAAAUAUUCUGGACACGCCAAUCCUGGAUUUCCUUAACACAGGCUCCCUUCUCCCAGGCCUUUGAAGGUGAGAAAGGAGCUGUAUGGGUGUCCUCUGCAGGGCCCUACUUAACCCUCUGCAGCCCAGCCAGUUGGUUCUGUGAGGUGCCAAGUUAACCCAGGCACACAAGCUUGGAACCCUGUUCUCUGCACUCCAUACUAUACAUCUUGAUUGCACCACAGCUACUUUAAUUGCAAAAACCAGUCAGACAGAACACGCCGUGAUGACCUUGUACCAAAUGCAAAAUGGCAGGUCGUUUGCCCUAAAGGCUACACCGUACAUAUUUGCCUUAAACCACCUGCGU